Non-coding RNA from Lolium perenne, 1137 nucleotides. The record is from RefSeq and is a predicted model, not a curated record. NCBI's taxonomy places the organism in Eukaryota, Viridiplantae, Streptophyta, Magnoliopsida, Poales, Poaceae.
CAUUCGAGACUUUGAACCCACUCUCAGAAGAUAUCUGCAUGAUUCCUCUUAAGAAGCUGAAGAGUUUGCCUUCUGGAUUUACUUUGAUGACAGUUGCAUUUUUGGUGUAGAAUUUAUCAAGGUUAUCACUGUGAAAACAACAGAUACUACUUCAGAAAACCUGUAUAUUCAGCAGAGCAACACCUUUGAUGACCAUGGAGUGUAUACUUGGAUUAUUGAAGGCUUCACCACACCUCAGACCCCAUGCAACUCUCCAACAUUUGUAACUGGCGGAUACAGAUGGUAUCUAAGUAUCAAGACAUCUAACAUGGAUGUGGAUGGCAGCACGAAUUUUCUCUCUCUGUUCCUGCAUCCGUAAGAUAUGCUCCCCAGAAAUCAUGGAAUACUGGUAGAAGUCAGCUUUUCUCUCAUGGACCAAGCAAAUGGCAACCACAGGAAGUUCAGAGGAAUUGGCAGGGCAUGUGGAUGGAGCAAACCUUCCAAGAUGCUCGGUUUAGGUGCGACUCUCCACCGUUUCCUGCGGCCGCAGCAGCGACGGCAAGCGGCUCUCCUCCUUGGAGCCUCAGGUGAGGCGACCCCGCGGCGAGCGGAGCAGCGACGGCGGGAGGGAGCUGCGGACAGCGCCACAGCGGCGGGGCGAUGAGGGGCGGCAACGAAGCUACUUGAUGCGGGGGAUGGCCGGCGGGGGAACUCGCCUUCUCUGCUCCUGGAGGCUCCGCCUCUGCCCCGCAUCCCCUGUUCCUGGAGGCCCCGACUCCUAUGCUCCUAUGUUUCGGACGGCUGGCGGGGAUGCGGGCUCACCGUUGACGUCGAGGGCGCGAGCCCAGCUCCGGAGCGGGACGGGGACGGAGCUCCGGCGCGGGACGGGGACAUCGGGAUCUUGAAUUUAUAUGUACAAGUGAUAUUUACUAGCUGAAUUUCUCAUCACAUCAUCGAUCCUCACAUGUCAAAUACAAUUUCUUUACUUUUUCCAUACAAGUAGUAGACUGAAAUUUGACGAGUCUUGCUCGAAGCAUUUGCUGCUGUAUGGUUUUUUAUAUGGUUUAAGUUAAACGAUGUGACAGCUUACAAACAGUUGGUGAGCACUGCUGGUUGUUAAGAUUAUUUGAGAGUUGGAGGAUAUGCUUCUUCAGGUAA